GGGGAAUAUUGGACAAUGGGGGCAACCCUGAUCCAGCAAUGCCGCGUGUGUGAAGAAGGCCUGCGGGUUGUAAAGCACUUUUGUCCGGGAAGAAAGGACCUGACCUAAUACGUUGGGGGGAUGACGGUACCGGAAGAAUAAGCACCGGCUAACUUCGUGCCAGCAGCCGCGGUAAUACGAAGGGUGCAAGCGUUAAUCGGAAUUACUGGGCGUAAAGGGUGCGUAGACGGCCUUUUAAGUCGACUGUGAAAGUCCUGGGCUCAACCUGGGGACUGCAGUUGAUACUGAAGGGCUUUGAGUUUGGGAGAGGGUGGUGGAAUUCCCGGUGUAGCGGUGAAAUGCGUAGAGAUCGGGAGGAACAUCCGUGGCGAAGGCGGCCACCUGGCCUGAAACUGACGUUGAGGCACGAAAGCGUGGGGAGCAAAC
Molecule: ribosomal RNA, 426 nt
Filed under: uncultured bacterium
Lineage: Bacteria
Description: bacterial SSU rRNA
Rfam family: Bacterial small subunit ribosomal RNA
Source: RNAcentral